CGGGACGGGUGAGUAAUGUCUGGGAAACUGCCUGAUGGAGGGGGAUAACUGCUGGAAACGGUAGCUAAUACCGCAUAACGUCGCAAGACCAAAGAGGGGGACCUUCGGGCCUCUUGCCAUCGGAUGUGCCCAGAUGGGAUUAGCUAGUAGGUGGGGUAACGGCUCACCUAGGCGACGAUCCCUAGCUGGUCCGAGAGGAUGACCAGCCACACUGGAACUGAGACACGGUCCAG
RNAcentral lists this ribosomal RNA (233 nucleotides) under uncultured bacterium. RNAcentral's name for it is "partial 16S ribosomal RNA". It matches the Rfam family "Bacterial small subunit ribosomal RNA", at positions 100 to 334 of the family's 1533-position model. The record is from RNAcentral.